GAGUGAGAAGAGAGAGAGAACACCGAUUUGGGAGGAAGAACGAUGUCUAGCAGUCGCCGGACUUACAGCAGCAGCGACGUCGCGGAGGGAGGCAGCGGCCGCUCGCCGGCGACGGCUGGAACGGCAGCCUUUGGGCGCGACAGCACCUACACAGGGAGCAGCAACAGAUCGAUUGAGAGGGGGGGAGGAUUCUGGAACGGGCGAGCAACAACAGAGCGCGGAGCCACGGAGGCGGAACU
This 239-nucleotide long non-coding RNA is filed under the name Salvia miltiorrhiza (redroot sage). RNAcentral describes it as "long non-coding RNA (SMIL_LNC012739)". Lineage: Eukaryota; Viridiplantae; Streptophyta; Magnoliopsida; Lamiales; Lamiaceae. The record is from RNAcentral.